AUACGUAGGGGGCGAGCGUUGUCCGGAAUGAUUGGGCGUAAAGGGCGCGUAGGCGGCCCGGUAAGUCUGGAGUGAAAGUCCUGUUUUUAAGAUGGGAAUUGCUUUGGAUACUGUCGGGCUUGAGUGCAGGAGAGGUAAGUGGAAUUCCCCGUGUAGCGGUGAAAUGCGUAGAGAUUGGGAGGAACACCAGUGGCGAAGGCGACUUACUGGACUGUAACUGACGCUGAGGCGCGAAAGUGUGGGGAGCAAACAGGAGUAGAUACCCUGGUAGUCCACACUGUAAACGAUGAAUGCUAGGUGUAGGGGGUAUCGACCCCUUCUGCGACGCAGUCAACACAAUAAGCAUUCCGCCUGGGGAGUACGGCCGCAAGGUUGAAACUCAAAUGAAUUGACGGGG
RNAcentral lists this ribosomal RNA (397 nucleotides) under uncultured bacterium. RNAcentral describes it as "partial 16S ribosomal RNA". It matches the Rfam family "Bacterial small subunit ribosomal RNA", at positions 523 to 918 of the family's 1533-position model. The record is from RNAcentral.